CCCGCUGAAACUUAAGCAUAUCAAUAAGCGGAGGAAAAGAAACCAACAGGGAUUGCCCUAGUAACGGCGAGUGAAGCGGCAACAGCUCAAAUUUGAAAUCUGGCUCUUUCAGAGUCCGAGUUGUAAUNUGCAGAGGGCGCUUUGGCGUUGGCAGCGGUCCAAGUUCUUUGGAACAGGACGUCACAGAGGGUGAGAAUCCCGUACGUGGUCGCUAUCCUUCGCCGUGUAAAGCCCCUUCGACGAGUCGAGUUGUUUGGGAAUGCAGCUCUAAAUGGGAGGUAAAUUUCUUCUAAAGCUAAAUACUGGCCAGAGACCGAUAGCGCACAAGUAGAGUGAUCGAAAGAUGAAAAGCACUUUGGAAAGAGAGUCAAACAGCACGUGAAAUUGUUGAAAGGGAAGCGCUUGCAGCCAGACUUGCCUGUAGUUGCUUAUCCGGACUUUUGUCCGGUGCACUCUUCUAUAGGCAGGCCAGCAUCAGUUUGGGCGGUUAGAUAAAGGUCUCUGUCAUGUACCUCUCUUCGGAGAGGCCUUAUAGGGGAGACGACAUGUAACCAGCCUGGACUGAGGUCCGCGCAUCUGCUAGGAUGCUGGCGUAAUGGCUGUAAGCGGCCCGUCUUGAAACACGGACCAAGGAGUCUAACAUCUAUGCGAGUGUUUGGGUGUCAAGCCCAGACGCGUAAUGAAAGUGAACGGAGGUAAGAACCCUUUGGGUGCAUUAUCGACCGAUCCUGAUGUCUUCGGAAGGAUUUGAGUAAGAGCAUGGCUGUUGGGACCCGAAAGAUGGUGAACUAUGCUUGAAUAGGGUGAAGCCAGAGGAAACUCUGGUGGAGGCUCGCAGCGGUUCUGACGUGCAAAUCGAUCGUCAAAUUUGGGCAUAGGGCGAAAGACUAAUCG
This 894-nucleotide ribosomal RNA is filed under the name Chaetosphaeronema achilleae. RNAcentral describes it as "eukaryotic LSU rRNA". It matches the Rfam family "Eukaryotic large subunit ribosomal RNA", at positions 24 to 937 of the family's 3401-position model. The record is from RNAcentral. Lineage: Eukaryota; Fungi; Ascomycota; Dothideomycetes; Pleosporales; Phaeosphaeriaceae.